This is a transfer RNA of 81 nucleotides. It matches the Rfam family "tRNA". From Rfam's summary of the family: Transfer RNA (tRNA) molecules are approximately 80 nucleotides in length. Their secondary structure includes four short double-helical elements and three loops (D, anti-codon, and T loops).
GGCUCUGUGGUGCAAUGGUAGCACAAGACUGUGGUCUGGGAUUCCAAGUCUAGUCUCCGGGUUCGAAUCCCGGCGGAGUCA